UGGCCUCGGGGCGCAGCAGUGGGGAAUAUUGCACAAUGGGGGGAACCCUGAUGCAGUGACGCCGCGUGAGUGAAGAAGUAUUUCGGUAUGUAAAGCUCUAUCAGCAGGGAAGAAAAUGACGGUACCUGACUAAGAAGCCCCGGCUAACUACGUGCCAGCAGCCGCGGUAAUACGUAGGGGGCAAGCGUUAUCCGGAUUUACUGGGUGUAAAGGGAGCGUAGACGGCAGAGCAAGUCUGAAGUGACAGCCCGCGGCCCAACUGCGGGACUGCUUUGGAAACUGCCCGCCUAGCGU
RNAcentral lists this ribosomal RNA (294 nucleotides) under uncultured bacterium. RNAcentral describes it as "partial 16S ribosomal RNA". It matches the Rfam family "Bacterial small subunit ribosomal RNA", at positions 335 to 647 of the family's 1533-position model. The record is from RNAcentral.